RNAcentral lists this ribosomal RNA (721 nucleotides) under Eupompha sulcifrons. RNAcentral describes it as "SSU rRNA". It matches the Rfam family "Eukaryotic small subunit ribosomal RNA", at positions 430 to 1112 of the family's 1831-position model. The record is from RNAcentral. Lineage: Eukaryota; Metazoa; Arthropoda; Insecta; Coleoptera; Meloidae.
GGUCACGCAAUUACCCACUCCCGGCACGGGGAGGUAGUGACGAAAAAUAACGAUACGGGACUCAUCCGAGGCCCCGUAAUCGGAAUGAGUACACUUUAAAUCCUUUAACGAGGAUCAAUUGGAGGGCAAGUCUGGUGCCAGCAGCCGCGGUAAUUCCAGCUCCAAUAGCGUAUAUUAAAGUUGUUGCGGUUAAAAAGCUCGUAGUCGAAUUUGUGUCUCAUGCCGCUGGUUCAUCGUUCGCGGUGUAAACUGGCGUGACAUGGGACGUCCUGCCGGUGGGCUUAGCUCUUUACGGGGCGGCCCUAUACAAUCCUGCCGCGUUGCUCUUGAUUGAGUGUCGAGGUGGGCCGGCUCAUUUACUUUGAACAAAUUAAAGUGCUUAAAGCAGGCUAAAAUUUUGCCUGAAUAUGUGUGCAUGGAAUAAUGGAAUAGGACCUCGGUUCUAUUUUGUUGGUUUUAAGAACCCCGAGGUAAUGAUUAAUAGGAACGGAUGGGGGCAUUCGUAUUGCGACGUUAGAGGUGAAAUUCUUGGAUCGUCGCAAGACGAACAUAAGCGAAAGCAUUUGCCAAAAACGUUUUCAUUGAUCAAGAACGAAAGUUAGAGGUUCGAAGGCGAUCAGAUACCGCCCUAGUUCUAACCAUAAACGAUGCCAGCCAGCGAUCCGCCGACGUUCCUCCGAUGACUCGGCGGGCAGCUUCCGGGAAACCAAAGCUUUUGGGU